Gasterosteus aculeatus aculeatus (three-spined stickleback) is the source of this 1064-nucleotide long non-coding RNA. The record is from Ensembl. Lineage: Eukaryota; Metazoa; Chordata; Actinopteri; Perciformes; Gasterosteidae.
UGAAGAAAAAGCGAUGGCGGGAGGAUUAGAAACAGCUUCGGGUGCAAAUUGAAUUAGCCCUUUGAGAUGAUUUCAGGGGAGGAAUGAAAUGUCAUCCUCGCCCUCGCAGGCAGAAAUGCAAAACACGUGGAUGUGAAAGUGCAUCUUUUUUUCAUUCUUCUGAUUUCCUUUCAAAUGCUGACUCCUUUUUUUUUUCUUUUACUGUACUAAGAUACAUGUCAGGCGUAAAUCAUGGCCGCAGCGAUGAGAACCAGCCGCCUGCAGCUCCCGAGUCGCUGUUUUCAGAUGGCGUGUGUCACAGCUCCAACCCCUCCCCACAACUCAUUAUUUGGAAAUGAUUCCAAAAUGUCAAACACACGUCAUCUGUGUUUAUGAAGAGGGUUAAAGGUUUGUCCCCUCAAAUGUCCAACUAAAUAAUUAAUGUAACAGGAUUAGUUUUAUGUGUUUCGUUCACUUCACUAGUGGAAUAAAGAGAAACUGCAUUUACAUGUGAUUUAUGUUAUGUUAUAUUACAGAAUGGGAGAAACGGCCGCUGCUCAGAGCUGCAUUGGAGUUGGAGGACGUUUCAGCUGCGGCUUGCAGACAAAGCGAUCGCGUUUCUCCGAGUCGCGAGCUGCUCCCUCCCUUUUUUCUAGAGACGCGGGAAUCUCGAGCCAUCGGAACGUGCAGGAGGAGCGGGAGGAAACGUGUCUGAGGCCGGCGGACGUGGUUUGGGGAGCGCCUCCGCUCAGCGGGCUCCUGCAGUGACGGUAUUGGUUGUGACACCAGCAACUGGCCCCAACGUUGGAAACAUUUUCCAAAAAGUUGGUUCAUGGAGACGGUCCCGGAGCCGAGACGUCAGGAUUCUCCUACCGUUGGGUUUGCAUUGGAACGGGAGAUGUUGAUCUACGCUUGGAGCAGCUCGAUAGUCUCACGCUGUUUAUUGUUACAAUCCCUCUGCACACAUUAUAAUUAUGGGACGGAGCUAAUACUUAGCGCGGCGAAAUGUAAACUUGUGUGACAUCACAUGCGUGCGUGUAAGGCUUCGAGUAAAAAGGAAGGAAGGUCUUUUUAAGUGUUGCGUU